Molecule: ribosomal RNA, 678 nt
Filed under: Alexandrium sp. J18
Lineage: Eukaryota; Dinophyceae; Gonyaulacales; Pyrocystaceae
Description: SSU rRNA
Rfam family: Eukaryotic small subunit ribosomal RNA
Source: RNAcentral
CAUGUCUCAGUAUAAGCUUUUGAUUUGUGAAACUGCAAAUGGCUCAUUAAAACCGUUAUAAUGCAUUUGACAAUUGCUCCUACAUGGAUAUCUGUGGAAAUUCUAUAGUUAAUACAUGCACUGAAAACCUAUCUUGGGGGAAAGGUUGUGGUCGUUGGUUGCAGAACCAAUUCAAGCAUUGCUUGUAUAUUUGAUUGAAUCGCAAUGACAAAAUGAAUUACAUGGCAACAGCUGGUAAUAAUUCAUGCCAGUUUCUGACCUAUCAGCUUUCGACGGUAAGGUAUUGGCUUACCGUGGCAAUGACAGGUGACGGAGGAUUAGGGUUUGAUUCCGGAGAGGGAGCUUGAGAAAUGGCUACCACAUCUAAGGAAGGCAGCAGGCGCGCAAAUUACCCAAUCCUGGCACAGGGAGGUAGUGACAAGAAAUAACAAUACAAGGCAUCCAUGUCUUGUACUUGGAAUGAUUGGACAUCAAACCUUUCUAUAAGUAUCAAUUGGAGGGCAAGUCUGGUGCCAGCAGCCGCGGUAAUUCCAGCUCCAAUAGCGUAUAUUAAAGUUGUUGCGGUUAAAAAGCUCGUAGUUGGAUUUCUGCUGAGGAUGGCUGGUCCGCCCUCUGGGUGAGUAUUUGGCACAGCCUGAGCAUUUAUCUUGAAAGCACAACUGCACUUGACUGUGUGGU